Molecule: transfer RNA, 73 nt
Filed under: Ixodes scapularis (black-legged tick)
Lineage: Eukaryota; Metazoa; Arthropoda; Arachnida; Ixodida; Ixodidae
Rfam family: tRNA
About the family: Transfer RNA (tRNA) molecules are approximately 80 nucleotides in length.
Source: Rfam by way of RNAcentral
UCCUAGUUAGCUCAAUUGGUGGAGCGCUCCACUGGAAAUGGAGAGGUUCCUGGUACGAUACAAGGACCAGGCG